RNAcentral lists this ribosomal RNA (253 nucleotides) under uncultured bacterium. RNAcentral's name for it is "partial 16S ribosomal RNA". It matches the Rfam family "Bacterial small subunit ribosomal RNA", at positions 524 to 776 of the family's 1533-position model. The record is from RNAcentral.
UACGUAGGGGGCUAGCGUUGUCCGGAAUCAUUGGGCGUAAAGCGCGUGUAGGCGGUCCGGUAAGUCCGCUGUGAAAGUCGAGGGCUCAACCCUCGAAUGCUGGUGGAUACUGUCGGGCUAGAGUACGGAAGAGGCGAGUGGAAUUCCUGGUGUAGCGGUGAAAUGCGCAGAUAUCGGGAGGAACACCAAUGGCGAAGGCAGCUCGCUGGGACGGUACUGACGCUGAGACGCGAAAGCGUGGGGAGCAAACAGG